UACGUAGGUGGCAAGCGUUAUCCGGAUUUAUUGGGCGUAAAGGGAACGCAGGCGGUCUUUUAAGUCUGAUGUGAAAGCCUUCGGCUUAACCGGAGUAGUGCAUUGGAAACUGGGAGACUUGAGUGCAGAAGAGGAGAGUGGAACCCCAUGUGUAGCGGUGAAAUGCGUAGAUAUAUGGAGGAACACCGGUGGCGAAAGCAGGUCUCUGGGCCGUUACUGACGCUGAGGAGCGAAAGCGUGGGGAGCGAACAGG
RNAcentral lists this ribosomal RNA (253 nucleotides) under uncultured bacterium. RNAcentral's name for it is "partial 16S ribosomal RNA". It matches the Rfam family "Bacterial small subunit ribosomal RNA", at positions 524 to 776 of the family's 1533-position model. The record is from RNAcentral.